UCCCUGGUGGUCCAGUGGCUGAGACUUUGUAUUCCCAAUUCUGGGGGCCUAGGUUCAAUCCCUGGUUGGGGAA
RNAcentral lists this transfer RNA (73 nucleotides) under Bos taurus (domestic cattle). It matches the Rfam family "tRNA". From Rfam's summary of the family: Transfer RNA (tRNA) molecules are approximately 80 nucleotides in length. Their secondary structure includes four short double-helical elements and three loops (D, anti-codon, and T loops). Further hydrogen bonds mediate the characteristic L-shaped molecular structure. tRNAs have two regions of fundamental functional importance: the anti-codon, which is responsible for specific mRNA codon recognition, and the 3' end, to which the tRNAs corresponding amino acid is attached (by aminoacyl-tRNA synthetases). tRNAs cope with the degeneracy of the genetic code in two manners: having more than one tRNA (with a specific anti-codon) for a particular amino acid; and 'wobble' base-pairing, i.e. permitting non-standard base-pairing at the 3rd anti-codon position. Lineage: Eukaryota; Metazoa; Chordata; Mammalia; Artiodactyla; Bovidae. The record is from Rfam by way of RNAcentral. RNAcentral also lists the same sequence under 2 other names.